RNAcentral lists this ribosomal RNA (463 nucleotides) under uncultured bacterium. RNAcentral's name for it is "partial 16S ribosomal RNA". It matches the Rfam family "Bacterial small subunit ribosomal RNA", at positions 27 to 507 of the family's 1533-position model. The record is from RNAcentral.
GGACGAACGCUGGCGGCGUGCUUAACACAUGCAAGUCGAACGGAAAGGCCCUUCGGGGUACUCGAGUGGCGAACGGGUGAGUAACACGUGGGUGAUCUGCCCUGCACUUUGGGAUAAGCCUGGGAAACUGGGUCUAAUACCGAAUAGGACCGCGCGCUUCAUGGUGUGUGGUGGAAAGCUUUUGCGGUGUGGGAUGGGCCCGCGGCCUAUCAGCUUGUUGGUGGGGUAAUGGCCUACCAAGGCGACGACGGGUAGCCGGCCUGAGAGGGUGACCGGCCACACUGGGACUGAGAUACGGCCCAGACUCCUACGGGAGGCAGCAGUGGGGAAUAUUGCACAAUGGGCGCAAGCCUGAUGCAGCGACGCCGCGUGAGGGAUGACGGCCUUCGGGUUGUAAACCUCUUUCACCAGGGACGAAGCGCAAGUGACGGUACCUGGAGAAGAAGCACCGGCCAACUACGUG